AACUAGCUUUGAGAGAAAAAAAAAUUGAAACCAAAAUGCAUGUCUAUUAGCCCAAUGCAGUUCAACUAUUGACAAAGAAGUAAUCUAAAAAAUGACAUAGGGCUGGAGAGAUGCCUCAGCAAGAAAAGGCAGUGGUCCUUAAGCCAACAACCUGAGCUUGAUCCUGGGACCACAUAGAGAGAACUGACUCCUGCAAGUUGUGCUCUGGCUUCCAUACUUGUGUGCACCAAGAUGCCCCCUCUCUGGAGCAACCCAGCCCUUAUGGGACAAGAAAUGUGGCGACUCUGUCAGGUGACUUACUCAGCAUCCUUUUACUGGGUUAGAACAAUGGUGGAGCCCAGAGCCCUGGGCGAGGAUAUGGCUGUGUGCUGAGGACCUUCACACAGGCACACAGUGCUCCACCUGUCUUCUUACGGCUGGCAAUGAGAUGGUGCUCCUUACACCGUGGACCCCCCGAGGGGUCUUCCUCACCACCUUCAGCCGGAAAGUGCCUGACCGUAGAACUUCAUGUGUAUUAGUUGCUCCUGAGAAGAGGAAGAGCUGUUUUGAUGCCCGUAUCUUUCGAGGUGUCAGUCCAUGGUCUUUGGCUCCACUGAGUCCAGGGUCACAGCAAGCCUAAACAGGACGGUGGGCUAGACCUGCCGAGGGGCAGACCUCGAAGCUCACAGCAGAUAGGAAGCUCAGAGAUAAGACUGAAGAACAUGGCAUCACUCUGACCUACCUUCUCUGGGUAGGCUUUACUUCCCAUCUCCAGAACCUUCCAAAAUAGGAACAUUAGGUCUGUGCACCAAACGUGGGCAGGAUUGAUCCAUGGAGAGAAGACGACGACACUGGAUCCCUGGGACUGGAGUUACAGACAGUGUGAGAUGCCGUGUGAAUGCUGGGAACUGAAACGGGAGUCCUCUGGAAGAGCAGCCCUUAGCCCUUUGGAUAAAAGGCAGAAGUAAAUAUUCUGACUUGGGUUCAGCACUGGCUUCUUAGACAUGAUACCAGGGCCACAAGUAACAAUAAAAAACAAACAAACAAAACAACAACAACAU
This 1040-nucleotide long non-coding RNA is filed under the name Mus musculus (house mouse). RNAcentral describes it as "predicted gene, 30363". The record is from RNAcentral. Lineage: Eukaryota; Metazoa; Chordata; Mammalia; Rodentia; Muridae.